AUUGAACGCUGGCGGCAGGCCUAACACAUGCAAGUCGAGCGGAUGACGGGAGCUUGCUCCUUGAUUCAGCGGCGGACGGGUGAGUAAUGCCUAGGAAUCUGCCUGGUAGUGGGGGACAACGUUUCGAAAGGAACGCUAAUACCGCAUACGUCCUACGGGAGAAAGCAGGGGACCUUCGGGCCUUGCGCUAUCAGAUGAGCCUAGGUCGGAUUAGCUAGUUGGUGGGGUAAUGGCUCACCAAGGCGACGAUCCGUAACUGGUCUGAGAGGAUGAUCAGUCACACGGAAACUGAGAAACGGUCCAGACUCCUACGGGAGGCAGCAGUGGGGAAUAUUGGACAAUGGGCGAAAGCCUGAUCCAGCCAUGCCGCGUGUGUGAAGAAGGUCUUCGGAUUGUAAAGCACUUUAAGUUGGGAGGAAGGGCAGUAAGCUAAUACCUUGCUGUUUUGACGUUACCGACAGAAUAAGCACCGGCUAACUCUGUGCCAGCAGCCGCCGUAA
RNAcentral lists this ribosomal RNA (500 nucleotides) under uncultured bacterium. RNAcentral's name for it is "partial 16S ribosomal RNA". It matches the Rfam family "Bacterial small subunit ribosomal RNA", at positions 30 to 523 of the family's 1533-position model. The record is from RNAcentral.